This 1539-nucleotide long non-coding RNA is filed under the name Mus musculus (house mouse). RNAcentral's name for it is "long non-coding RNA chr18:38230635-38232174". Lineage: Eukaryota; Metazoa; Chordata; Mammalia; Rodentia; Muridae. The record is from RNAcentral.
AAAUAGCUACAAUCAACAAGCUGAGAGUGGCAGUGUAUACUUGUGAUCUCAGUGCUUGGGAUGCUAGGAGUCCCAAGAGCUUAAGGAAGAUUCAGAGCUUAAGGUUAGCCUGGGCUUGUAGUGAAACUAUAUGUGAUAUAUAUAUAUAUACACACACACAUAUACAUACAUAUAUUCAUACACAUACAUAUAUAUACAUGCAAAUAUAUGCACAUAUAUAAGUAACACAGGAAAAAUAUAUACUCUACAUCAAAAUUCAAAACUUUUGUUUAAAUAAACACCAUCAAAAAAGUAUUAAAAAAACUUUUACUCUAGCUGCAAAUUAUUUAUUAUCCAACUUAUAGUAUUCAGAAUAUAUUAAGAAUCAUUCCAACUCAUCAGUACAAGACAGAUCAUUUCUUUUUUCUUUUCUUUAAGAUUUAUUUAGGGCUGGAGAGAUGGCUCAGGGGUUAAGAGCACUGACUGCUCUUCUAGAGAUCCUCAGUUCAAUUCCCAGCAACCACAUGGUGGCUCACAACCAUCUGUAACAAGAUCUGAAGCCUUCUUCUGGUGUGUCUGAGAACAGCUACAGUGUAUUCACAUAUGUAAAAUAAAUAAUCUAUUUAUUUCUCAUUUUUAAAAAGAUUUAUUUAUUUAUUUUAUGUAUAUGAGUACACUGUAGCUGAACAGAUGGUUGUGAGCCUUCAUGUGGUUGUUGGGAAUUGAAUUUAGGACCUCUGCUCACUCCAGUCAGCCUCAAUCACUCAUUUCCUGUUCGCUUUGGCCAAAGAAUUAUUUAUUAUUAUAAAAAGGUACACUGUAACUGUCUUCAGACACACCAGAAGAUGGUGUCAGAUCUCAUUACAGGUGGUUGUGAGCCACCAUGUGGUUGCUGAGAUUUGAACUCAGGGCCUUUGGAAGAGUAGUCAGUGCUCUUACCCACUGAGCCAUCACAUCGACCCUAUUUCUCAUUUCUUCUUUCUUUUCUUUUCUUUUUUUCCAUUUUGUUUUGUUUUGUUUUUCGAGACAGAGUUUCUCUGUGUAGCCCUGGCUGUCCUGGAACUCACUCUGUAGACCAGGCUGGCCUCAAACUCAGAAAUCCGCCUGCCUCUGCCUACAAGUGCUGGGAUUAAAGGCAUGCGCCACCACUGCCCCACUUAUUUCUCAUUUCCUAGAGUAAAAGAUUUGACGUCUUAGUUACUGCUGUGAAGGCACCAUAACCAAGUCAAUUUAUAAAAGGAAGCAUUUGAUUGGGGGCUUGCUUACAGUGUCGGAGGAUUACGCCACGAUCAUCAUGGCGGAGAGCAGAACAGCAGGCAGGCAGGCAGGCACUGGAGCAGUAGCUGAGAACUCACAUUUUCCCACACUCAAGAGGCAGAAAACAAACAAGACUGGGCCAGGUGUGGCCUUUUGAAACUUCAAAGCCCACUUCCAGAGGCACACCUCCUCCAAUAAGGCCAUACCUUCUAAUGCUGCCUAAACAGUCCACCAACUGGGAACCAAAUAUUCAAAUAUAUGAACCUAUGGGGACCAUUCUUAUUCAAACCAGUCCAGUAUCUC